GACGAACGCUGGCGGCGUGCCUAAUACAUGCAAGUCGAGCGAACUGAUUAGAAGCUUGCUUCUAUGACGUUAGCGGCGGACGGGUGAGUAACACGUGGGCAACCUGCCUGUAAGACUGGGAUAACUCCGGGAAACCGGAGCUAAUACCGGAUAACAUUUUCUCUUGCAUAAGAGAAAAUUGAAAGAUGGUUUCGGCUAUCACUUACAGAUGGGCCCGCGGUGCAUUAGCUAGUUGGUGAGGUAACGGCUCACCAAGGCAACGAUGCAUAGCCGACCUGGGGGGGUGAUCGGCCACACUGGGACUGAGACACGGCCCAGACUCCUACGGGAGGCAGCAGUAGGGAAUCUUCCGCAAUGGACGAAAGUCUGACGGAGCAACGCCGCGUGAGUGAUGAAGGCUUUCGGGUCGUAAAACUCUGUUGUUAGGGAAGAACAAGUACAAGAGUAACUGCUUGUACCUUGACGGUACCUAACCAGAAAGCCACGGCUAACUACGUGCCAGCAGCCGCCGUAA
This 514-nucleotide ribosomal RNA is filed under the name uncultured bacterium. RNAcentral's name for it is "partial 16S ribosomal RNA". It matches the Rfam family "Bacterial small subunit ribosomal RNA", at positions 28 to 523 of the family's 1533-position model. The record is from RNAcentral.